RNAcentral lists this ribosomal RNA (548 nucleotides) under Lygus lineolaris (tarnished plant bug). RNAcentral describes it as "partial 16S ribosomal RNA". It matches the Rfam family "Bacterial large subunit ribosomal RNA", at positions 1797 to 2619 of the family's 2925-position model. Lineage: Eukaryota; Metazoa; Arthropoda; Insecta; Hemiptera; Miridae. The record is from RNAcentral.
CGCCUGUUUAACAAAAACAUGGUCUUUUGUUUAUAUAAAAGAUCUAACCUGCCCUAUGAUUUAUUUUAAAUGGCCGCAGUAUUUUGACUGUACAAAGGUAGCAUAAUCAUUUGUCUUUUAAUUGAAGGCUGGUAUGAAUGGUUGGAUGAAAAAUAUACUUUCUUUAUUUUAUAAAAAUAAAUUAACUUUUUAGUCAAAAGGCUAAGAUUUUAUUAGAGGACGAGAAGACCCUAUAGAACUUUAUUUUCUUUUUAUAUAACUUUUUUAGUUUUUAAUAAGUUUAUAUAUUUAUGUUAAUUAUGUUGGGGUGACAGAAAAAAUAAUAUAACUUUUUCUAUUUUUUUCAUUUAUUUAUGUUUUUUUGAUCCUACAUUAUGGAUAAUAAGAUUAAGUUACCUUAGGGAUAACAGCGUUAUUUUCUUAAAGAGUUCUUAUCGAUAAGAAAGUUUGCGACCUCGAUGUUGGAUUAAAAUAAGUGAUAGGAGCAGAAUAUUAUUUACUAGGUCUGUUCGACCUUUGAAUUUUUACGUGAUCUGAGUUCAGACCGG